GAAACCAAUCCCGAAAUCAUAUCUCAGUUGGAAUUGUCGGCUGUAACCCGCUGACAUGAACGUGGAAUCCCUAGUAAUCGUGUGUCAUCAUCGCACGGUGAAUACGUCUCUGCUCCUUGCACACACCGCCCGUCGCUCCAUCCGAGUGUAUUAAAAAUGAGGUUUGGUCAGUUUGGUCAUAUCGAGUUUCUAAUAUGCGAGGAGGGAGAAGUCGUAACAAGGUAGCCGUAGGGGAACCUGCGGCUGGAUCACCUCCUAA
RNAcentral lists this ribosomal RNA (259 nucleotides) under Promethearchaeota archaeon. Its description in RNAcentral is "Candidatus Lokiarchaeota archaeon partial 16S ribosomal RNA". It matches the Rfam family "Archaeal small subunit ribosomal RNA", at positions 1220 to 1478 of the family's 1478-position model. The record is from RNAcentral. Lineage: Archaea; Promethearchaeati; Promethearchaeota.